This 255-nucleotide ribosomal RNA is filed under the name uncultured bacterium. RNAcentral's name for it is "partial 16S ribosomal RNA". It matches the Rfam family "Bacterial small subunit ribosomal RNA", at positions 524 to 776 of the family's 1533-position model. The record is from RNAcentral.
UACGAAGGGUGCAAGGCGUUACUCGGAAUUACUGGGCGUAAAGCGUGCGUAGGCGGUUUGUUAAGUCUGUCGUGAAAGCCCGGGGCUCAACCCCGGGAGGCGGGUGGAUACUGUCAAGCUCGAGUCCGGAAGAGGCGAGUGGAAUUCCUGGUGUAGCGGUGAAAUGCGCAGAUAAUCAGGAGGAACACCAAUGGCGAAGGCAGCUCGCUGGGACGUGACUGACGCUGAGACGCGAAAGCGUGGGGAGCAAACAGG